Molecule: long non-coding RNA, 771 nt
Organism: Lates calcarifer (barramundi perch)
Lineage: Eukaryota; Metazoa; Chordata; Actinopteri; Centropomidae
Exons: 5
Source: RefSeq, a predicted model, not a curated record
GGCAGGAGACCAGGAAGUGUUUCUCUUUCCUGGUGAUUCUCCGCAAAGAAACGUCUACGCUGGCUCUGAAAAUAACUGUGAUUUACGCUGUUUACGGUAGUUCAGAUUGAUCAUACCGAGAAAAAACAGGAAGCUUUUAUCGUGUCCUACCAAAAGGUGUCAUCAUAAGUGGGGAAAUGCAUGAAAUUGACCGGAAAACGUCGUCAAAAUGGCUUCUUGUAUUCACCCGUGGCCGGGAGAAGCAAAGUGGGAUAUUGCUUGUAUGCAGUGAGUCACCAUCUCGUUAAAGUUAUGGAUGUAAACAUGAGGCUCAAGCCAGAGGAGGGUACGAGAAGCUGCUGGGUUCUGGAGCAUGAGGACUUCUUCUCUUUAAUCCCACCUGGCUACACAUGGGAGCCCUGUCUGAUGGGAUUGUCACCUGCAACUGUGAUGGAACAGGGAUUUGUGAGAGAAAGUGCCCACACUGCAAGGAAAAAUGAGGUUGAUCAGCCAUUCUGUGCCAUUCAAUGAUGGAGAUGAUGUAACACCAGACAGGAGCCAUGUUUACUACUUAAUUCAAACAUCAACCGACAAAUUGAGCAAAGAGACAGAAAUGAACACAUUUAAAGAAGGAGGUGGAGGAGAAGACUGCAUCACCUGAAGAGGACAACAAAAGUAGUUAAAUGUUCUUAAACAUGUUCAGAGAGUCUUUAAUAAGCAUAUCCUCAUGUGUGCUCAACACUACAUUGAAUUUGGGCUGAGAAUAAAAUAAAGUGUCUCCAAGUGGUCAAA